GCUUUUGCGCAGUGGCAGUAUCAUAGCCAAUGAGGUUUAUCCGAGGCGCGAUUAUUGCUAAUUGAAAAGCUAGUUAGAGCUAGCUUCAGCACACACUUGGUCAUAGAAGAGAAAGAAGAGAAGAAUAUUGGAAAAUAUUAUUAAAGA
This is a small nuclear RNA of Antechinus flavipes (yellow-footed antechinus), 147 nucleotides long. RefSeq annotates it as U4 spliceosomal RNA. The record is from RefSeq and is a predicted model, not a curated record. Lineage: Eukaryota; Metazoa; Chordata; Mammalia; Dasyuromorphia; Dasyuridae. The transcript has a single exon.